GACGAACGCUGGCGGCGCGCCUAACACAUGCAAGUCGAACGGAGCUGUUUUCUCUGAAGUUUUCGGAUGGAAGAGAGUUCAGCUUAGUGGCGAACGGGUGAGUAACACGUGAGCAACCUGCCUUUCAGUGGGGGACAACAUUUGGAAACGAAUGCUAAUACCGCAUAAUGCAUCAAUUUCGCAUGUUAUUGAUGCCAAAGGAGCAAUCCGCCUUUAGAUGAGCUCGCGUCUGAUUAGCUAGUUGGCGGGGUAACGGCCCACCAAGGCGACGAUCAGUAGCCGGACUGAGAGGUUGAACGGCCACAUUGGGACUGAGACACGGCCCAG
RNAcentral lists this ribosomal RNA (327 nucleotides) under uncultured bacterium. Its description in RNAcentral is "bacterial SSU rRNA". It matches the Rfam family "Bacterial small subunit ribosomal RNA", at positions 28 to 334 of the family's 1533-position model. The record is from RNAcentral.